This 255-nucleotide ribosomal RNA is filed under the name uncultured bacterium. Its description in RNAcentral is "partial 16S ribosomal RNA". It matches the Rfam family "Bacterial small subunit ribosomal RNA", at positions 15 to 266 of the family's 1533-position model. The record is from RNAcentral.
GAUCAUGGCUCAGGAUGAACGCUAGCUACAGGCUUAACACAUGCAAGUCGAGGGGCAGUAUGACCUAGCAAUAGGUUGAUGGCGACCGGCGCACGGGUGAGUAACACGUAUCCAACCUACUGGUUAUUCCGGGAUAGCCUUUCGAAAGAAAGAUUAAUACCGGAUAGUAUAACGAGAAGGCAUCUUCUUGUUAUUAAAGAAUUUCGAUAACCGAUGGGGAUGCGUUCCAUUAGUUUGUUGGCGGGGUAACGGCCC